This 468-nucleotide ribosomal RNA is filed under the name uncultured bacterium. RNAcentral describes it as "partial 16S ribosomal RNA". It matches the Rfam family "Bacterial small subunit ribosomal RNA", at positions 28 to 507 of the family's 1533-position model. The record is from RNAcentral.
GACGAACGCUGGCGGCGUGCUUAACACAUGCAAGUCGAACGGAAAGGCCCUGCUUUCUUGGUCUUCUCGGGUGGCGAACGCGUGCGUAACACGUAUGUAACCUUCUCUUCUCUUUGGUAUAACUUCAGGAAACUGGAGCUACUACCAUAUCGCAUCUCCUCUUCCAUGGUGGGGGUUGGAUAUUUUCGGCGGUUGGGGUUGGACUCGCGGCUUACCAGCUUGUUGGUUGGGUAGUUGCUUACCAAGCCUUUGACGGGUACCCGGCAUGAGAGGGUGGCCGGGCACAUGGGGACUGAGAGACGGCGCAGACUGCAACGGGAGGCAGCAGGGGGGAAUAUUGCACAAUGGGCGGAAGCCUGAUGCAGAAACGCCGCGUGCGGGAUGACGGCUUGCGGGUUGUAAACAGCUGUAGCCUGAGACGAAGCGUGAGUGACGGUAAUGAGUAAAGAAGCACCGGCUAACUACGUG